CGGAGUAACGCGUGAGUAACCUGCCCAUAAGAGGGGGGAUAAUCCAUGGAAACGUGGACUAAUACCGCAUAUUGUAGUUAAGUUGCAUGACUUGAUUAUGAAAGAUUUAUCGCUUAUGGAUGGACUCGCGUCAGAUUAGAUAGUUGGUGAGGUAACGGCUCACCAAGUCAACGAUCUGUAGCCGAACUGAGAGGUUGAUCGGCCGCAUUGGGACUGAGACACGGCCCAGACUCCUACGGGAGGCAGCAUG
This 250-nucleotide ribosomal RNA is filed under the name uncultured bacterium. RNAcentral describes it as "partial 16S ribosomal RNA". It matches the Rfam family "Bacterial small subunit ribosomal RNA", at positions 107 to 353 of the family's 1533-position model. The record is from RNAcentral.